This 82-nucleotide transfer RNA is filed under the name Syncephalis pseudoplumigaleata. It matches the Rfam family "tRNA". Rfam says of the family: Transfer RNA (tRNA) molecules are approximately 80 nucleotides in length. Lineage: Eukaryota; Fungi; Zoopagomycota; Zoopagomycetes; Zoopagales; Piptocephalidaceae. The record is from Rfam by way of RNAcentral. RNAcentral also lists the same sequence under 1 other name.
GUCAGUGUGUCCGAGUGGUUAAGGAGACAGACUUGAAAUCUGUUGGGCUCUGCCCGCACAGGUUCAAAUCCUGUCGCUGACG